GGCCCCGUAGUCUAGUGGUCUAGGACAUCGCCCCUUCAAGGCGGUAACACGGGUUCGAAUCCCGUCGGGGCUA
This 73-nucleotide transfer RNA is filed under the name candidate division WWE3 bacterium CG_4_9_14_3_um_filter_43_9. Its description in RNAcentral is "tRNA-Glu". It matches the Rfam family "tRNA". From Rfam's summary of the family: Transfer RNA (tRNA) molecules are approximately 80 nucleotides in length. Their secondary structure includes four short double-helical elements and three loops (D, anti-codon, and T loops). The record is from RNAcentral. RNAcentral also lists the same sequence under 1 other name. Lineage: Bacteria; candidate division WWE3.